AACCUCCCGGGCCACCCGGCCUGAGGCGGAAUGUUGCGUAAAGGGAAGGGUCGUUGUCAAACCCCACAGCCACGCGAGCGCUAAGUCAGCCACGAAUAGGCUAUCCCAACUAACGACGGGAAAGACUCCACGGAGGGUGUAAGACCCGUGUGGGCGCGUGUCAAAGCUGUGUGGGCUCGGCCUCUUUUUCCCUGAGAGUCGCGUUGCUUGAGCAUGCAGCGCUAAGCAGGUCGUAAACUCGAUCUAAGGCUAAAUAUAUCCACAGAACCGAUAGCGAACAAGUACCGUGAGGGAAAGUUGAAAAGCACUCUGGAGAGAGAGUCAAAAGACCGUGAAACCGCUCAGGGUAUAAGCCAAUGGCAGCUUGGAAGGCAUAUCGAUAGCGGCGGCAUUUCGACUCCGGUCGGGUGCUCCGUGACUCUGGCAAUGCUGGCAGGUAGGGGCAUUGAGUUGACAUCCCGCCCACGUAUGGGAGGCUUAGCUUCUGCCUUGGUGCGUGUGUGUUUGCCUCUUCGGGGGUGGGCGCGUGCGUGCCCUGUGUUUGGGGCGGCCUCUUGAGUACGAACCUUCAAAGCCGGAGACACGAUGCGAUAUCACGGCCCACCACGGCACGUUGCGAGGUCACCCUCAGACUCGACUUUCGAUUGUGGAUCCUGACACCGGGCUAGCAUAUGCACGUCGCUGACGUUCUUCCGGCUAUAUCUGGAAGGAUGACGUGCGCCCAUCAUUGUGUGUCGGAGCCGGGCGAUGACUGAGACAAAUUCUGGUGCGAUCCUCCUGCGACGAGCUGGUAUCUCUGACCUAUUCCGACGUUCGCGUCCGCCGCAUGUGUCGCGGUGGACGUCGAUGCUGAACGUAGCGCGCGGCCUGGUUCUCUGUCACAGAGUCCUCUCGGCGGAGCGUCGGAACGAGUGGUGUAAAGUCCAAGCCCAUCGGUCACGUCUCGAAACACGGGCCAAGGAGUAUAGCAUGUGUGCAAGUCUAAGGGUCUCACAAAACCCGAAGGCGAAGUGAAAGCAUGGGAGCGGCGGGUGAACCACGGUGACCCCGUCAGCUGAGGGAGUUUACUCCCCUGGCUUUGGCAGAGUCGAUCCUGGGGCGUUGCAGAACACCCAGGCGCAGACUCCAGGCUCACGUAUAGCAGCUCGGUCGCUUGCGACUCUGCUGUGAGCACUGUGGAGCAUGCAUGCUAUGACCCGAAAGAUAGUGAACUAUGCCUGGCGAGGGCGAAGCCCCAGGAAACUGGGGUGGAGGCCCGUAGCCGUUGUG
RNAcentral lists this ribosomal RNA (1269 nucleotides) under Marinogammarus stoerensis. RNAcentral describes it as "partial 28S ribosomal RNA". It matches the Rfam family "Eukaryotic large subunit ribosomal RNA", at positions 115 to 888 of the family's 3401-position model. Lineage: Eukaryota; Metazoa; Arthropoda; Malacostraca; Amphipoda; Gammaridae. The record is from RNAcentral.